This 492-nucleotide ribosomal RNA is filed under the name uncultured bacterium. RNAcentral describes it as "partial 16S ribosomal RNA". It matches the Rfam family "Bacterial small subunit ribosomal RNA", at positions 29 to 507 of the family's 1533-position model. The record is from RNAcentral.
AGUGAACGCUGGCGGUAGGCCUAACACAUGCAAGUCGAACGGCAGCACAGUAAGAGCUUGCUCUUACGGGUGGCGAGUGGCGGACGGGUGAGGAAUACAUCGGAAUCUACUUUUUCGUGGGGGAUAACGUAGGGAAACUUACGCUAAUACCGCAUACGACCUACGGGUGAAAUCAGGGGAUCUUCGGACCUUGCGCGUUUGAAUGAGCCGAUGUCGGAUUAGCUAGUUGGCGGGGUAAAGGCCCACCAAGGCGACGAUCCGUAGCUGGUCUGAGAGGAUGAGCAGCCACACUGGAACUGAGACACGGUCCAGACUCCUACGGGAGGCAGCAGUGGGGAAUAUUGGACAAAGGGCGCAAGCCUGAUCCAGCCAUACCGCGUGGGUGAAGAAGGCCUUCGGGUUGUAAAGCCCUUUUGUUGGGAAAGAAAAGCAGCAGGUUAAUACCCCGCUGUUCUGACGGUACCCAAAGAAUAAGCACCGGCUAACUUCGUG